This is a long non-coding RNA of Erythranthe guttata (spotted monkey flower), 3442 nucleotides long. RefSeq lists it as uncharacterized. The record is from RefSeq and is a predicted model, not a curated record. Lineage: Eukaryota; Viridiplantae; Streptophyta; Magnoliopsida; Lamiales; Phrymaceae.
UCUUCGAAGAAGAAAGAUAAGAUAUUGGGUUCGACAUAGUUUAGGUUGUAAACUAGAGGUCACAAUUAGAAACUUAGGAUGACUAAUCUGCAUUGACAAUUUGGUUGUCCGUAUUGUUACUCAAACAAUUAGAAAUGAGUAUCACAAGUUAACUAAAUUCAUUGUGUCCUAUAAUAUGCCUUUAAGGUAGAUAGGACAGGGUGGAGGCUUGGCAAUGAGAAAGAUCGUUGGAUAUAGGUGGCUGCACCCAUAAACGUGUAAACGAGGUUGAGACAGAGGUUAGUAUAUUUUCUUCUUAUAUUAACAUUUUGUUCGAGUAUGAUACGAAAACCGCUGAAUGGUUGAACUGAAUUUAUCUUUCUCUGUUUAUUUUAUUUUUUCACAACUUCUCUAACAGGUUAUUAUUUAUAUGCAACAUAGGCAUUCACAAAAUGUGUUUGAAAGUUCAUAUAAAUAAUCCCAUCAUCAAUAAUCCUUAUCUUACACUCUCGCAAGUACUCGACCAGAAGCAUGCCGGUUUAAAGGACAUUCUGCUAAAAAGGUUAUUUCCUCUUUUAUUGACUCAUGAUUACUUACGAAAUGCAGGUUCCAACCACUAGUUAGUAGGUAUAUAAUUCAGAUAUACAUAAUAUUACUUGUGUUAGUGAUAUGCCAACAUAUAUGCAGACAGGAUAAAGUUAUUGUACUGCUUGUUAGUAAAAUAUGUUCCCACUAUGAGUUGUCAUUCCUCAUCGAGAUACCUUUAGCCAAGACAGGAUUAAUGUAUAAGUUCAGAUGCAUAACCUGAAUUUGCAUAAAAUCAAGAAUUGGUAUGCACACUGUUCCCUGUAUUUAGGAAACAUUGAUAUUCUCCAAGUUUUGAUAUGAGAGGAGUACUCAUUCGGGGUGAAACGAUGUCUACUCAUAACUCAUCUACGAUUACAGAUCAAUAUAUUCUAUGGGACUAAAUAUAUUAGCUAGAAAAGGAAUUAGCAUAAAAUUAUUGAAUAAGAUUCAGUUUGCAAAGAGAUUUUGGGUAAAUCUUUAUUUCUUUGUGCUUUUCUGUGAUAAUAGCAAGGGCAGGUAAUUACUGAUUUCUACAUGUUGAUGAUUUUUCUAAUCACUCUUCUGCACGAGUGUUGGAUUAACAAGAUAUUUCAGAAAUUUUUUUUUAUUUUUUUUUUCUCUCCUUUGACCUUAUGAUGUAGAUUGGUAUUAUGUUCAUAUCGCCCCAAUUUAUCUUACCUUUCAGAAAAUCUAAUUUUGAAAAAAAAAAGAAAAAAACUCAUUUAGAGACUAGUUUAUUCUAUUUUAAUGAAAGUCUACAAAUUGAUAUUGUUUUAUUAUUUAUUUUAGUGAAUAAGCCUACUAAUUAAAGAGUUUCAAGGAUCAUAAUUUGCAUAAAGUCUACAAAUAUUUAUGUUUUUAUUUUUAUUUUUUUGAAUACGCCUAAAAAAAAUUGGGGCUGUCCGCGACAUAUAGCCCACCCUCCUGUUAAUUAUUGGCUCUGCCAUUGCAUGUAUGCCUGGUCUGUGCUCAUAUUUACGAAAAUUGUCUAUAUAUGUCAUCAGAUUACCGUGCAUUAAAUUUGACCUUAUCUUGUUUCUAACGUCCUCGUCGUUCUUAUCCAGAGGGGUACAGAAAAUAUUAUCGUUAUAUUGUAUUAUGUAAUAGAAAAGUAACUAAAAAUUUUGAACAAAAUAUUUUUUUGGAGAGUCAAUGGCCCCUCCAAAGCACGCCUCGGUUACGCGCGUGUGGUGCACAUAUUUAUGAAAAUUGUUUAUAUAUGUCAUCAGAUUACAGUGAAUUAAAUUUGACCUUAUCUUAUUUCUAACGUCCACGUCAUUCUUAUCUGGAACACGGAAAAUCUUAUCGUCCCAUUAAAUGAAAGGAAAUAUUUUUGCCUAUAUAUAUUGGUUUUCUACAUUGUCUCUCUGCAACUUUCACUUUGUUAUUUAUUCAGUGUUAGGUUAAGAGCGAAUGCUUAUAACCUAAGCAGUCACUUCUUUACUCGUGGAGGAGCAGUUGACCGGAACCUUGCCAUCGGAGACUUGUCCUGUAAAAAUCCGUUUGCAGCCAUGGCUGGUUCAAUGGGAGGUCAAUACUCGAAGAGCAAAAGAAAAUCUAAAUCAGAUAAGUAUGACAAAUCCAACAAGAAGCCUGAAGUGUUCAGUUCAAUCGGGCAACAGUCCUGAUGAACCAAAAGACAAGAAUCCUCAGUCAAAUUAUACGCAACACCUCGUGCACCUAACAUCGAUCGAAUCGAAACUGCAAUGAACUAGUCGGAGGAAGUUCGUUGAGAUGAAAACGAUGUUGGCUGUUUGCAGAAGUUGAUGUGGUUUGAAUGGCACUCCGGCGACCUCAACAGCCACCAGCUCCAUUCUGACCUAGAUCCAUAUAUAGUAUAUACUAGCUAGUGAGAGGUAUAUACCGAGACUCAAAAUGCCCAAAUUACACCAUGCCGACACUGAAGCAUUUAAGUUGAAUGGAUCCGAGUCUGAGAGGGAGGUGGCAGAAAUUCUGAAGAGAAGAGAAAAUGCAUCAGAAAACUUUCCGACUUUGAGAAGCAGGUUAGCAAUUUGCAGUCACAGUGCGAGGAAGAAAAGCAGAGGUUGCUGCCAGCUGGAGCCAGAGUUGCUUCAAGCUAAGAGAAAAGCUGAGCCUCUGGCUCUGGCUCUGGCUCUGGCUCUGGCUCGUUCAAAGGGAGGUAAACACUUGAUGAACGAAGGCAGUUUCUUAAUCGAAUAGGUCUGGCACGUUCAACAAAGAUGGCACAUUUAACAAAGGAGCCUGAACUAUUCAGUUCUAAGUUUCCUUCAGCACAAUCGAGCAACAAUCCUGAUGGAACAAAGGAUUUAAAAGACAAGAAUCCUCAGUCAAAUGUAAUUCAAAGAUUCGCUGUUGAAAUCUGGAUAUAGUACGACAGAAGUAAGAAACAGCAAUCUUAAGUGCUGGGCAUAUCCAUGGGCGGGUGGAUAUUCUUAAUAAUAUUUUGACAAAUUCAACUGCUUUUAUUGAAAAAAGGGUGGAACCAACAAGCAAAGCUUUCAAAAACAUGGAUGAGUUAUACAAAACUAUGCUAGAAACCAUGGUUUUACGUUGAAGCUAAAAAAUGCUCAAAUUAGAGCCGACACUGAAGCGUUUAAGUUGAAUGGAUCCAAGUCUGAGAAGGAGGUGGCAGAAAUUCUGAAGAGAUAAAGAAAAUGCACCAGAAAACUUACCGAAUUAUAUCUACUAAUUAUCUAUGUAAAUGCUGGUUGUCUUGGUAAUUAGUUUAGUUUUCGUCUCUUCAUUUCCAUUUGGUUCCGGAAAAUUUAUUUGCUAUGCAUAUUUCUGAGAGAAUCAUUCCCACUUGUAAAGAAACAUGUCUUAUUUCCUGUAUUUAGAUCUCAUUGCACAAAUAAGAAGAAAAAAAUAAAAAAGAUAAAAAAUAACAGUCCUACUAUGGACUUCUUCUGUUUCG